CGGCGUAUUCCUCGGGAGAGAAAUGUGUUCGGAAAGAAAAGAUUACGCUUCCAGACACACAAGCCGGGGAAUGCAGGAAUGUGACGUUUAGGCCGGGUACGAGAGGGCUGGAGUUUGAAAAUGAGGGAGCACUGGGAAAGGAACGCCAGGAAGGUAACAGGAUCGCCUGCAUAACCCCCCGGAGGAGGUGCAGACUGAGACAGGGACACUGAGUGGACUCCCCUAUUGGUGUGCUGUGGUACUGCAGUGGGACCCCUGUGGAGCGCCUUGACAGUUCUGUGCAGUGUGCGUCUGGGUGUGUGUGAGCACCCGUUGAGUAGUACCACCAACCCUGGUCCUCCAGUACCACCAACCCUGGUCCUCCAGUACCACCAACCCUGGUCCUCCAGUACCACCAACCCUGGUCCUCCAGUACCACCAACCCUGUUCCUCCAGUACCACCAACCCUGGUCCUCCAGUACCACCAACCCUG
RNAcentral lists this long non-coding RNA (472 nucleotides) under Salmo salar (Atlantic salmon). RNAcentral describes it as "lncRNA (ENSSSAG00000118488.1)". The record is from RNAcentral. Lineage: Eukaryota; Metazoa; Chordata; Actinopteri; Salmoniformes; Salmonidae.